GAGGUGGCCUGAUGCGUCAGUGCAUCUGGCUGUUAACCAGAAGGUUGGUGGUUUGAGCCCACUGAGAGACA
Podarcis lilfordi (Lilford's wall lizard) is the source of this 71-nucleotide non-coding RNA. The record is from the annotation of a GenBank genome assembly. NCBI's taxonomy places the organism in Eukaryota, Metazoa, Chordata, Lepidosauria, Squamata, Lacertidae.